CUCCUCCUCCGUCUCUCAUCUUCUCUCAACUUGAAGCCACUUGCUCUGCUCGGAAGAAAAGGAAAGCAAGAUGGACGUCUCUCCCUCAUCCAUUCUUCUGCUCCCGCUCCUCUUCCUCUUCCUCUGCUCCCUCCCGUCGCCCGCCUCCGCCUGCGACCGCUGCGCUCACCGCUCCACAGCCGCCUACUACACCUCCUCGCUCACCCUCGCCGCCGGUUCCUGCGGGUACGGCGCGGCGGCCGCGUCCCUCAACGGCGGCCUGCUCGCCGCGGCGGGCCCGGCCCUGUACAGGCAAGGCGUCGGCUGCGGCGCGUGCUUCCAGGUGCGCUGCAAGGACGAGGAGCUCUGCGGCGCCGCCGGCGUGAGGGUCGUCGUCACGGACCGCGCGAGGACCAAGGAGAACGGCACGGACCUCGUGCUCAGCAGCCCGGCGUUCGCCGCCAUGGCCCGCCCCGGCAUGGCCGCGCGGCUCGCCAAGCUCGGCGCCGUCGACGUCGAGUACAAGAGGGUGCCCUGCGAGUACAAGGGCAAGAACCUCUCGCUGCGUGUGGAGCAGAGGAGCCGCGCGCCCAGCGAGCUGGCCGUCACGAUCCUCUACCAGGGCGGCCAGACUGACAUCGUCGCGGUCGACGUCGCGCAGGUCGGUGCGUCGUCGAGCUGGAGGUCCCUGACACGCGACCACGGGCCGGCGUGGAGCACGAGCCUGGCGCCGCCGGGGCCGCUGCAGCUCCGGGCGGUGGUGACCGGCGGGUACGACGGGAAGUGGGUCUGGGCCGAUCGCGAGGUCCUGCCGCGCCAGUGGCGCGCCGGCGAGGUCUACGACACCGGCGUCCAGACCACCGACAUCGCCCAAGAAGCCUGCUUCCCCUGCGACACGCAGGAGUGGAGGUGACCACCGACGAGGCAAGCGGCAAGCCAAGAGGAGGAGCUAAGCUCCAAAAUCGUGGCCGGGCGUCGAACCAACGGUCAGAGGCUCCUCGUCACCGCUGGUGCCAGUUUCGGCUGGGCAUGGAAUUGGAAGGAUAGAUAGAGAUUAGUAACUGACGCAGCGGCACGUAGAGCCCUCGUUGCUUAUCCAACUCCUGUGGACAAACAUGCAUGAGCUGCAGCUGACGUGUGAGAUACUAGUAUGUACAGUAGCAACCAUGAAGCGAUAACGGGUAGCGGACGGCGGCGAGGCCGUGGCCUGAAUCCCUGGACAAAAUACAAAAUCCGGUGACUUUUCUCAGUGGGUAGCGUCGCAAGUCGCCGCGCCGCAGGGUUCAUGCUCCGUUGCUUUCGGCUCGAUGGCAAACGAUUUUCAUUCAUGGGCGCCGAGCUCGACCGUUUGAAUGGGUUGGUGGCGAGAUUAAUAAUCUGUUGGACGACGGACGAAACGAAACUAGUCGCUGGUCUUCCAGGAUUCACUGAAUGAGACGGUCAGGAAAUUAAGGGCGUAGUGCAAUACAAUACUGUAAUCAGGAGUAGAAAGCACGUCGAAUUCAGACAUGUAUGCACUGAGCUGAGCAUACAUGAUUGGUGAUUACUCCUUCGGUCUCAUAAUGCAAGGCAUUUUUUGACACUACACUAAUGUUAAAAAAACAUCUUACAUUAUAGGACGGAGGGAGUAGGUCGUAGCUGGGUGCGCCAUAAACGGCAGCCACUCAUCAUCAGUGCAACGGCAACCAUCUACUCCUCCAGGC
This 1682-nucleotide ribosomal RNA is filed under the name Triticum aestivum (bread wheat). RNAcentral's name for it is "partial small subunit ribosomal RNA". Lineage: Eukaryota; Viridiplantae; Streptophyta; Magnoliopsida; Poales; Poaceae. The record is from RNAcentral.